This 311-nucleotide ribosomal RNA is filed under the name uncultured eukaryote. RNAcentral describes it as "partial 18S ribosomal RNA". It matches the Rfam family "Eukaryotic small subunit ribosomal RNA", at positions 1470 to 1796 of the family's 1831-position model. The record is from RNAcentral.
CCCCUAGACGUUCUGGGCUGCACGCGCGCUACAAUAAUACGCACAGCGAGUAUCACCGAGCUCGAAAGGGCAAGGUAAACAAUAGAAAAGGUACUGUAAUGGUUAUAGAUCCUUGUAAUUAUUGAUCUUCAACGAGGAAUUCCUAGUAAGUAUGUGUCAUCAUCACGCACUGAUUACGUCCCUGCCCUUUGUACACACCGCCCGUCGCUCCUACCGAUUGGGUGAGCCGAUGAAACUCUCGGAUGUAGGCUAUUCAUAGCCCGCAGAAGAGAUUUGAAUCGUAGCGCUUAGAGGAAGGAGAANUCGUAACA